Molecule: non-coding RNA, 2947 nt
Organism: Lolium perenne
Lineage: Eukaryota; Viridiplantae; Streptophyta; Magnoliopsida; Poales; Poaceae
Source: RefSeq, a predicted model, not a curated record
CUCUCCACUCCUUCCUCCACUCCCUCACAACCUUAUCCUCCACCCCACCCACGAAAAUGCUGCUCCCCUAGCUUCCAUGGCCGGCCAUGGCCAUGGAAAUCCCCCAAGAUGAAGUUCUCCUCCUCCCUCAAGCUCAUCCUCACCAUGAGAGCAUCUCUCUCUCUCUUUUCCCCUAACCCUAGCUGAUUUUCUCACCUCUUAUUCUUCCUCCAUUGCUAAGAUUGGAUCUUGAUGCAGGUGCAUGUUGGUCCAAGCAUGGAGAAUCUUGAGCUAUCCUCAGAUCUGAAGUUCAUGAGCAAAGUCCAAAUCGAGUGAUUCAAAGUUCCACAGAUAGAUAUUGAAAAGAUCUACAACUUGGCGUUGGUCUCAUCCUCAAAUUGUUUACGGAUUUUCCACGAUCAAUAUCUGGUCAGAUCUGACUUUGUCGAAUUAAACCAGGAGCUUGGAAACGAGUUUUUGGAUCAAACCAGUUGGGGGAUAUUUGGUUUAUACCAUGGUGAUAACCGAGAGAGGCAAUUGCUAAGUUGUGAUGCACUCAUACCUUUACUAGAUGCGAACAAUUCCGGAGAAGAAGAAGAAGUGGAAUCGGAUGAGAAGAUUAUUUAUAUUGUUGGAAUUCUUAUAUUGAUGGAGUUGAAGAAGUACAUGGACAAAUAAGCCAAGGCAAGCCAUCUUUUGAUCUCUGACUUGGUGUCUAGUUGGAUGUCAUUUGUUGAUGUCCAAAGCACCUAAAUUCUAUGUGUGUUAUUCUCUCUAUUUAUGUCAUCUAUGUGUGAUUGCAAGUGGGGUACUCCCUAGUGGUGAUACUCCACUAUUGUCUUUAUGAUUAUGGGAUGCAUGGUAUCAUGGCCGUGUUAUUCCUCUUGGUUAUCUUGUAUGCUCGACUUGAGCAUGUUCCAUCUCAAGAUAAUGACUUACACCACACCCACCACUUUUGUAGUAUAGAGGUAUCAAUGCCAUGAUCUUGGUGUAUUCUCAACUUGAGAGGAGUAUGCCGUGUACCCAUUGGAGAGUAUGUUUGAUAGUGUUACUCCACUAUCUAAGUUGUAUUUUUUUAGCACCACAAAUCUGAAAGAAUAAUCCUCCUUAUGUUGUCCCUAUACAUGCUUAUCCUAAGUAUGUAUGAUCCCCUUAACACCUCAAUUAUCAUCCCCUUGUGGUAUGAUGGCUAGCAUCAUGUCAUUGUGACUCUUAGUUCCUUCAUAAAACUAUAGGUUGGGAACCCCCUUGGAAAAAUACCUUGUUGAAAAGAAUUUUUGAAAACCUUGAGUGAGUUGGACUUACCCAAGCGUGUGUUUAUGAAAGGAAAGGAUCUUGGCAAAGAUGGUUGAAAAGAAAAUCUUGUUUUCGAAAACUUUGGUGCCUAAGUAUUCACCCGUGACAAUUAACCCGCGCAACCACAUUACCCUGGGGUGGGACGGGGCUUAGCUCGUAGUUUGUUCUUCUUAACAUGGGACACCGCACAACUAUAUAAGGGUAAGGUUACCCCUGAAUCCGGAUUGUCGUUGGUGGAGACAAUAGUAUAACGGGAGGCCUUCGGGGCUGACCCGUCCGGAAGACACUAUGGGUCUCCUGGCUUGGCGGUGGAGCCACGCUCAAAGUGAGGUGAGCUGCCACGGUGCCGGGGAGGUACAUACUCCAUAGGGUAGGAUCCCGUGCUAAGACGAAUAGGCGAAAGGCUAUGUCCGAGUUUUUGUCAUGGCAUAGUUGAUAUGCAGGGAUGAUGCCCACAUGAUAAACUCGCGGAUCUUGUGGGGAAAGUGUGCAAACUCUGCAGAGUCAAAUCUAUUCGAAUAGCCGUGUCCGCGGUCAUGGACGGUUGAAAUGGUUGUUGCUUAGCCUGAUGAGUUUUGUUUGAGAAAGUGUUUACCAAAGGAAAAAGGAACUUGUUUUCGGAGUACUGGAAGGGUACUAAAAUGGUUGGGUUGACCAUAUGGAGAUGGUCGGAAAGGAAAUAAACUGGGUUACUCCCUUCCUAGUGUUUUAUGUUGUAGAACUCUUUUGAAGUAUCUUCUUAAAUAAAGAUAUAGGUAUGUCAUUGGAAUCCUCUAGCAUUUCCAUCAACUGAGAUGGACUUAUGCUACCUCAUCUCCAAUAAAGAUUUAGAUAUGUCAUAGAACUUCCUUAGCGUCCCCAUCAAUUGAGAUGGCGGCAUGCUAUAUCCAUAAGAGAAACUGACGCUCUUGUGCAUGCUAUAUCCACGAGAGAAACUAUGUCUCUUCCACAUGCUAUAUCCACAAGAGAAACUGAUUCUCUUCCCCCUGCUAUUUCCACUUGUGAAAUUAGCUCUUCCCUCUUGUCAUCUUAGAUUAGCAUUUGUUAUCUUGCACUCUUGCAAAGUACCUUCUUGAUGGUUUGCGAGUACAAUUCCAAAUGUACUCACGGCUUUGUCCCUGGCUAUUUACUUGGCCAGACUUGGAGGAACACGACGAAUGAAGAAGGAGUUGGCGACGUCUAUGCGAGCUAGGAACGUCUUCCAAGUCAGUUGCAUGUAGGGUUAUGGCAGAUGACUUGGGUACUGCGCUGCUGAAGUGUUGAUGCUACUCUGAUGUUUAGAUAGGCCCUUCGAGGCUAUUAUGUAAGAAUGGUCAUGUGGCCUUAUUGUAAUUUUUUUUUAUUCCGCUUUGUAAUGGAUGGUGUAAUUUGAUAUCAGUUCGGUUAUGUGUUCACGGCGCACUGAUCAUGGGAUCGUGAACUGUAUACAUAACAGGGUAUUUCGGACAGUUAGUUCGGGGUCCCCACAACCGCUCCCGCGGCAGAGGAGGGAGCCGACACCGCAGUCCUCGGCGCGUGCGCCCACGCCGCCCCUCGUCAUCGUGCCGCCCGCGGGUACGCCGCCUUCCGCGGGGGCGUCUUCUUCGGCUGUGCCUCUUUCUGCAGCGUCUGGCCGCGGCGCCCAGGGUGAGCCGGCACGCCGGCCAACUUUGGAUGAGAUGUUUCCGCGCCG